This is a small nucleolar RNA of Myotis lucifugus (little brown bat), 76 nucleotides long. NCBI's taxonomy places the organism in Eukaryota, Metazoa, Chordata, Mammalia, Chiroptera, Vespertilionidae. The record is from Ensembl.
UGGACCCGUGAUGAGAACCAGUGGCAUUUGAGGAGAGGAUGAUAAAUUUCAAUGUGUCUGAAACUCUGAGGUCCAG